Long non-coding RNA from Numida meleagris (helmeted guineafowl), 785 nucleotides. Lineage: Eukaryota; Metazoa; Chordata; Aves; Galliformes; Numididae. The record is from Ensembl.
UGACCCAGCCCAUGCCUUAUCUUCACUCUGUUUCUAUCCACAGCACUGCCUAUUAGAUACCUCUCUUACAUAACAGAAAUUCCCACUUGCCCUAACAAAUACUGUAGCAUCCCUAGGGUGAUGGAGAAAAGAGGAAAUGAAAACCAACCAAACAUCCCAUAAUUCAAUACUCUAUAUAACAAAUGUACAAGUUUUACUUAUUACUAAAUGCCACACAGUAACUUUGUGCCAUGGGUAUAGUAGAGAGCUUAGGGUUUCUGAAUGCAUCCUACUAACUUCAAGAAGACUGCGUCAAGUAUCACUGUAGAGUUUAUUCUGGAAAGAGAGAAGGAAUAAGGAAGUAUUUUCUGGCACAGCACCUACAUAGCUUUCCUGUGAUAUCCCAUUUGAAACUGAAAACAAGUUGAAUGACGAGAAACACAAGUGACCACAGCUUCAGAGACGCUGUAUUCUCGCCCUGAGAAACAGCAAUUCACUCUGCUAAAGCUUGCAAACGGACAACACCUUGGAAGGAGACCACCGGGAGAAAAAAAACGCCCUGAUAAACUAUCAGCAUCUCUGCUCCAAACAGACUCCUGGGUUAAAUCAUACACUUGUGCCAAAAGAAAGGAAUGGCUCUUGGUGUUUCUGAUCAGAGAGAAGAAAAAUGCUGUUGAGCAUUUCAAUAAAUAUGAAAUAGACAAAGGGAACAUGUUGAUCAUACCUAAAAUACUUGUGGGUAUUCUGACCUUAAAAUCAGAAUGGAGCAAUUCUAAAAGAAACACCAAAAGGCCGACUUCUCAAAG